Triticum aestivum (bread wheat) is the source of this 115-nucleotide non-coding RNA. NCBI's taxonomy places the organism in Eukaryota, Viridiplantae, Streptophyta, Magnoliopsida, Poales, Poaceae. The record is from Rfam.
AUAAUACUCCCUCCGUCCGGAAUUACUUGUCAUCAAAAUGGAUGUGUCUAGAACUAAAAUACAUCUAGAUACAUCCAUUUCAAUGACAAGUAUUUUCGGACGGAGGGAGUAGUAG